This 253-nucleotide ribosomal RNA is filed under the name uncultured bacterium. RNAcentral describes it as "partial 16S ribosomal RNA". It matches the Rfam family "Bacterial small subunit ribosomal RNA", at positions 524 to 776 of the family's 1533-position model. The record is from RNAcentral.
UACGAAGGGGGCUAGCGUUGUUCGGAAUUACUGGGCGUAAAGGGCGCGUAGGCGGCCUUGUCAGUCAGGCGUGAAAGCCCCGGGCUCAACCUGGGAACGGCGCUUGGGACGGCGAGGCUGGAGUUCGGGAGAGGAGAGUGGAAUUCCCAGUGUAGAGGUGAAAUUCGUAGAUAUUGGGAAGAACACCGGUGGCGAAGGCGGCUCUCUGGACCGACACUGACGCUGAGGCGCGAAAGCGUGGGGAGCAAACAGG